Molecule: ribosomal RNA, 1306 nt
Filed under: uncultured bacterium
Lineage: Bacteria
Description: bacterial SSU rRNA
Rfam family: Bacterial small subunit ribosomal RNA
Source: RNAcentral
AACGUAUGCUGGCGGCACGCCUAACACAUGCAAGUCGAACGAAGUAGCAAUACUUAGUGGCAGACGGGUGAGUAACAUGUAGGUAUCUGCCCUUUGGCCUGGAAUAACACGAGGAAACUUGUGCUAAUACCGGAUAAGUCUUUACGGAGAAAGCUUUAUGCACCAUUGGAUGAGCCUGCACUUGAUUAGUUUGUUGGUGGGGUAAUGGCCUACCAAGACUGUGAUCAAUAGCUGAUUUGAGAGGAUGAUCAGCCACAUUGGGACUGAGACACGGCCCAAACUCCUACGGGAGGCAGCAGUGGGGAAUCUUGCACAAUGGAGGAAACUCUGAUGCAGCGAUGCCGCGUGAGUGAAGAAGGCCCUUGGGUUGUAAAGCUCUUUCGUCGGGGAAGAAAAUGACUGUACCCGAAUAAGAAGGUCCGGCUAACUUCGUGCCAGCAGCCGCGGUAAUACGAAGGGACCUAGCGUAGUUCGGAAUUACUGGGCUUAAAGAGUUCGUAGGUGGUUGAAAAAGUUAGUGGUGAAAUCCCAGAGCUUAACUCUGGAACUGCCAUUAAAACUUUUCAGCUAGAGUAUGAUAGAGGAAAGCAGAAUUUCUAGUGUAGAGGUGAAAUUCGUAGAUAUUAGAAAGAAUACCAAUUGCGAAGGCAGCUUUCUGGAUCAUUACUGACACUGAGGAACGAAAGCAUGGGUAGCGAAGAGGAUUAGAUACCCUCGUAGUCCAUGCCGUAAACGAUGUGUGUUAGACGUUGGAAAUUUAUUUUCAGUGUCGCAGGGAAACCGAUAAACACACCGCCUGGGGAGUACGACCGCAAGGUUAAAACUCAAAUGAAUUGACGGGGACCCGCACAAGUAGUGGAGCAUGUGGUUUAAUUCGAAGAUACGCGCAGAACCUUACCAACACUUGACAUGUUCGUCGCGACUCUAAGAGAUUAGAGUCCUCGGUUCGGCCGGACGAAACACAGGUGCUGCAUGGCUGUCGUCAGCUCGUGUCGUGAGAUGUUGGGUUAAGUCCCGCAACGAGCGCAACCCUCACUUUUAGUUGCCAUCAUUAAGUUGGGCACUCUGAAAGAACUGCCAGUGAUAAGCUGGAGGAAGGUGGGGAUGACGUCAAGUCCUCAUGGCCCUUACGUGUUGGGCUACACACGUGCUACAAUGGUAUCUACAACAGGAAGCAAGACUGCGAAGUUAAGCAAAUCCCUAAAAGAUACCUCAGUUCGGAUUGCACUCUGCAACUCGAGUGCAUGAAGCUGGAAUUACUAGUAAUCGUGGAUCAGCGUGCCACGGUGAAUGCGUUCCCGGGUCU